CCAAAGAUAAAAAAUAUCACGACCCAACACAUAAUAAAAAAGAUGUAUAAAAAAACUGAAUUUAAUUUGAUAUUCCUCUCUUUGAUCAUAUAUCUCUCGUCUUAAAAAAUCCACACAAAUUCCUAGAGAUAACUAUGGCUUACCCAAAAAAUAGAGGAUAUAUAGAAAACCCAUCAAAAAUAAAAUAAUUAAAAAAAAUUACAUAAAUAGAAAAUGAAAAUUCAAAACACUCGACAAGAACACACUCACACAUAGCAAAAAAAAGAAAGAAGGAGAGAGAAGUACAUUAAUAAUUAACGAUCAACUACAUAUCAACCACCACCAUCACCACCGGCAGCGGCAGCGCCACCAUGAGAACUGCCACAUGCACUACCAUCCACCGCAGAUGCGUGUGCUGCUCCGGUCACCACCAAAGUUGCCAUGCCAUUGCCAGCGUCAUUGGUGGCGGUGCCAUGGCUGGAUUCAACAUGAUAUUCGCCACCCUUGUCUCUAUCGGAUUUGGAAUGCGAAGAUAUUUGCUCAAGUGAUUGAUCUUCAUCAUCAUCAGGCUUAGAUUUCUUUUUGCAACACAACGGGAUACAAAACCUCAUUGUUAUUCACUCCCUUGAUACAUUCCCUUCCCUUUUAUAAUCCAACUCAUUAAACAGUCGUUUAAUAUUCUCUCACAGUCAAACAGUUCCAUGUAUAGCAAAUAGUAGUUCUAGUUAUUUUAAUUUUUUU
This 720-nucleotide long non-coding RNA is filed under the name Panax ginseng (ginseng). Its description in RNAcentral is "long non-coding RNA (PGIN_LNC016614)". Lineage: Eukaryota; Viridiplantae; Streptophyta; Magnoliopsida; Apiales; Araliaceae. The record is from RNAcentral.